This 484-nucleotide ribosomal RNA is filed under the name uncultured bacterium. RNAcentral's name for it is "partial 16S ribosomal RNA". It matches the Rfam family "Bacterial small subunit ribosomal RNA", at positions 30 to 507 of the family's 1533-position model. The record is from RNAcentral.
AUUGAACGCUGGCGGCAGGCCUAACACAUGCAAGUCGAGCGGAUGAAGGGAGCUUGCUCCUGGAUUCAGCGGCGGACGGGUGAGUAAUGCCUAGGAAUCUGCCUGGUAGUGGGGGAUAACGUCCGGAAACGGGCGCUAAUACCGCAUACGUCCUGAGGGAGAAAGUGGGGGAUCUUCGGACCUCACGCUAUCAGAUGAGCCUAGGUCGGAUUAGCUAGUUGGUGGGGUAAAGGCCUACCAAGGCGACGAUCCGUAACUGGUCUGAGAGGAUGAUCAGUCACACUGUAACUGAGAAACGGUCCAGACUCCUACGGGAGGCAGCAGUGGGGAAUAUUGGACAAUGGGCGAAAGCCUGAUCCAGCCAUGCCGCGUGUGUGAAGAAGGUCUUCGGAUUGUAAAGCACUUUAAGUUGGGAGGAAGUGCAGUAAGUUAAUACCUUGCUGUUUUGACGGUACCAACAGAAUAAGCACCGGCUAACUUCGUG